ACGAACGCUGGCGGCGUGCUUAACACAUGCAAGUCGAGCGGUAAGGCCCUUUCGGGGGUACACAAGCGGCGAACGGGUGAGUAAUACGUGGGUGACCUGCCCUCAGCUCUGGGAUAAGCCUGGGAAACCGGGUCUAAUACCGGAUAUGACUCCAUGACGCAUGUUGUGGGGUGGAAAGCCUUGUGCGGCUGAGGAUGGGCCCGCGGCCUAUCAGCUUGUUGGUGGGGUGAUGGCCUACCAAGGCGACGACGGGUAGCCGGCCUGAGAGGGCGACCGGCCACACUGGGACUGAGACACGGCCCAGACUCCUACGGGAGGCAGCAGUGGGGAAUCUUGCGCAAUGGGCGAAAGCCUGACGCAGCGACGCCGCGUGAGGGAUGACGGCCU
This 387-nucleotide ribosomal RNA is filed under the name uncultured bacterium. RNAcentral's name for it is "bacterial SSU rRNA". It matches the Rfam family "Bacterial small subunit ribosomal RNA", at positions 29 to 417 of the family's 1533-position model. The record is from RNAcentral.